CCUACGGGGUGCAGCAGUGGGGGAUAUUGCACAAUGGGGGAAACCCUGAUGCAGCGACGCCGCGUGGGUGAAGAAGGUCUUCGGAUCGUAAACCUCUGUCAGCAGGGAAGAACGGUCACUGUGCUAAUCAGCAGUGAAUUGACGGUACCUGCAAAGGAAGCACCGGCUAACUCCGUGCCAGCAGCCGCGGUAAUACGGAGGGUGCGAGCGUUAAUCGGAAUUACUGGGCGUAAAGCGCUCGUAGGCGGUAUGUCAAGUCAAGGGUGAAAUCCCCGCGCUCAACGUGGGAACUGCCUUUGAAACUGGCAAACUGGAGUGUGUGAGAGGAGAGUGGAAGUCCAGGUGUAGGAGUGAAAGCCGGAGAUAUCUGGAGGAACAUCAGUGGCGAAGGCGACUAUCUGGCACAUAACUGACGCUGAGGAGCGAAAGCGUGGGUAGCAAACAGGAUUAGAUACCCGGGUAGUC
RNAcentral lists this ribosomal RNA (465 nucleotides) under uncultured bacterium. Its description in RNAcentral is "partial 16S ribosomal RNA". It matches the Rfam family "Bacterial small subunit ribosomal RNA", at positions 338 to 795 of the family's 1533-position model. The record is from RNAcentral.